This 544-nucleotide ribosomal RNA is filed under the name Sphingomonas sp. AaM10a. RNAcentral's name for it is "bacterial SSU rRNA". It matches the Rfam family "Bacterial small subunit ribosomal RNA", at positions 206 to 770 of the family's 1533-position model. The record is from RNAcentral. Lineage: Bacteria; Pseudomonadati; Pseudomonadota; Alphaproteobacteria; Sphingomonadales; Sphingomonadaceae.
GAUUUAUCGCCGAGGGAUGAGCCCGCGUAGGAUUAGGUAGUUGGUGUGGUAAAGGCGCACCAAGCCGACGAUCCUUAGCUGGUCUGAGAGGAUGAUCAGCCACACUGGGACUGAGACACGGCCCAGACUCCUACGGGAGGCAGCAGUGGGGAAUAUUGGACAAUGGGCGAAAGCCUGAUCCAGCAAUGCCGCGUGAGUGAUGAAGGCCUUAGGGUUGUAAAGCUCUUUUACCCGGGAUGAUAAUGACAGUACCGGGAGAAUAAGCUCCGGCUAACUCCGUGCCAGCAGCCGCGGUAAUACGGAGGGAGCUAGCGUUAUUCGGAAUUACUGGGCGUAAAGCGCACGUAGGCGGCUUUGUAAGUAAGAGGUGAAAGCCCAGAGCUCAACUCUGGAAUUGCCUUUUAGACUGCAUCGCUUGAAUCAUGGAGAGGUCAGUGGAAUUCCGAGUGUAGAGGUGAAAUUCGUAUAUAUUCGGAAGAACACCAGUGGCGAAGGCGGCUGACUGGACAUGUAUUGACGCUGAGGUGCGAAAGCGUGGGGAGCA